Molecule: ribosomal RNA, 254 nt
Filed under: uncultured bacterium
Lineage: Bacteria
Description: partial 16S ribosomal RNA
Rfam family: Bacterial small subunit ribosomal RNA
Source: RNAcentral
UACGAAGGGGGCUAGCGUUGUUCGGAAUUACUGGGCGUAAAGCGCGCGCAGGCGGCUAUCCAAGUCAGUGGUGAAAGCCCGGAGCUCAAUUCCGGAACUGCCAUUGAAACUGUUUAGCUUGAGGACGAGAGAGGUGAGUGGAAUUCCCAGUGUAGAGGUGAAAUUCGUAGAUAUUGGGAAGAACACCGGUGGCGAAGGCGGCUCACUGGCUCGUAUCUGACGCUCAGGCGCGACAGCGUGGGGAGCAAACGAGG